RNAcentral lists this long non-coding RNA (866 nucleotides) under Mus caroli (Ryukyu mouse). RNAcentral describes it as "lncRNA (MGP_CAROLIEiJ_G0002991.1)". The record is from RNAcentral. Lineage: Eukaryota; Metazoa; Chordata; Mammalia; Rodentia; Muridae.
AAUAAUCUCCACCCCCUGCCGAGGCUUCAACAUUAUAUCUAUCCCUCCUUGCUCUAGCGGGCAGCAAGAAGCACAGCACCGCCAGUUACCACGCAGACAUCCUGGAGAACUGAGCCUGCUCCAGGUUCCUGACUUGAGGUCCUGUCCAGGCCUCUCUCCAUGAUGGACUAUGAUGGGGAUAUGUAAGCGGAAAUAAAUGUUCCCCUCUGCUGCUUUUGGUCAGUAUUUGUAUCACAGCGGGAGAAAGCAAACUCGGACAGAUAUUCAUCAGCUGUACAAAGAGAAAAGGCAUAAACUGCUGGAAGCUGUGUCCUUGGGUUAUGGGCACUACUUCCCACAACACCCACUGGCUUUGCAUGGAGACUCUGGACCUUCAGAACGACGCCCGGUUUCGCCACACGGAUACAGUGCUUGUGAUAAACUAGGUAGUAGGCCUGGUUCUGUUGCUUUCCCCCUUGCUGUGAGGAAAUCCCUGAGAAAGAUAAUUUAAGGAAGGAGGGGUUUGCUCUGGCAGCUGGAGUGAGAGGUGGCUGGCCACAGGACGUGGCAUUCGCUAUCAGGACGCAGAGAGAGAUGAAUGUGUAUGUUCACCUUCCCUUUCCACGAGGUCUAAAACCCCUAGCCCACAGAGUGCACCGUCUACCUUAGGGUGAGUCUUCCUGCCUCAGUUUACCGAGUUUACAAACUCCUAUGUCUCCAUGGUGAUUCUAGACCCUGUCAAGCUGACAGUAUUAACCACCUCAGGGGUUCACUGCUAGAGAUCCUGAGAGCACACAUUUGAUCUGCUUUGUAAAUACACGAUUUCGUUGCCUGAAAUAAUUUAGUCAGAGGCCGACCCUGGAUACCAUUAAAGUUGUUCUCCUUUU